This 1821-nucleotide ribosomal RNA is filed under the name Triticum aestivum (bread wheat). RNAcentral describes it as "partial small subunit ribosomal RNA". Lineage: Eukaryota; Viridiplantae; Streptophyta; Magnoliopsida; Poales; Poaceae. The record is from RNAcentral.
AUGGCCAGGGACGAACCCUUCGCCGCCGCCGUGGACGUUGCCGACGGCGACUCAACCUCCUCCAGCCCAACCCUCACGCGCCUACGGGAAGCACUCGCCGCCCUCUCCGAGGCGUUCGAGUCCGGCGACGCCGCCUCCUCCGACGCAGCAGCCGCCGCCGUCGCCGAGAUCCUCAGCGCGUCCGAUGCCGACGCGUCCGCCGCGCUCGCCGAGCAGAUGCUCCGCGAGGUCCACGCGUUCCUCUCGUCCCCGUCCUCGAAUCAGAUGGCCAUGGACGCGCUGUCUCUGGAGCUUCCCAAGCCUGUGGCGAAGCUGGGUGCUCGGAUGGGGAAUUGCCGGGACAUUGCCAGGACUAUCAUUGAGUUCUUUGCGUCGAAUUGCAGCCCAAGGGACAUGCUCUGCAUCCUCUGCGAGGCAUUAGAUACACCAGUGGCAUUAAAUGGAUCAGCAUAUCUUGUUAUUCUACUAGAUGGGCUUGCCAGCACGCUUAUUUUGAUUCAGAGGAGACAUAUUGAGCAAGUAAAGGUCGUACUUCCUGCCAUCCUUCGAGUUAUGCACGCUAAUUUAUCAGAAUGUGAUGAGGAACAUGGAAUGUCUGCUGUUGAUCUGUUCAGUGCAGCCCUCAGAAUAGGCAAUGCUAUACAAGAAAUGUGCAAAACAAUGGUCAACCACAGGAAGGAAGAGCUAUGUUCUAUACUUGGUCUAUACGCCCUUCAAAACAUAGCUCUUGUAUCAUCAGAAAGCAAACAUCAGAAUAUUCAGUCUACUUGUGGUUCAGUUGUUCUUCAAUAUUCUAAACUUCUUAUGUUUUGCGGGUUCACCUAUUUGGGUCUUUUAACUGGUAAUGAUGUGACCUCAGCCACCACUAAGCUUUCUAAAGAAGAGGACGACAAUUUUCUCGACUGCUUUUCUUUUGCUAUGGACGGUGCAAGUCUUGUAGUUGUGUGGACCUCUAUGCAUGAUGAUAUGUCAAAAUAUGCUGGAGCAGAGUUUGAAUCAGCACUGAAAGAAGUUCAAGACAAUUGUAUUAGGAAAUGGGAAGCAAUCAACAUGUUUAGAUAUGUCUUGUCUUCAGUUAAUUACUCAUGGGCAAUCAAAUCUCACAGUCUGGACUUAUUGUUGACUUUAGUUGAUGAUAAGUGUAGUGAGGAAACCAACGAUCAUGUAGAUUUCCCAUGUUCCACUCAAAUUUUUGCCAUACUCAAGGCCAUUGAAAGAGUCAUGAUAGCUGCCCCAGAUACGUUGAUGCGGAAGAAAGCCUUUUCUGCCCUGAAAAGGGUUAUUUCAGUGGUGCCAUCCACUCAGAGAUUUGAUAUCUUACAGGCCCUCAUCGAGAAUAGUAUGUUCCCCUCCUUGACUGCAAUUCUUUUAGAUCUGGUGAAGAAUGAAGUUUUGAGAGAGAGCCGUCGAGCUGAUCAGGUUAAUGGAUCUGAUCGAUCUCAAGAUUCUGGGGAAUCACCACCCUGGGCUUCUCAGGUGCUUGAGUUAGUGGAGCUGAUCUUGAGGCCUCCAGAAGGUGGUCCUCCUUGUCUUCGUGAUCACAGUGAAGAGCAGGUGUUAUCUGCUCUGAACUUGCUCAGAUUGAUUCUGAUAAUAGAUUCAAGAGGAUCCAGAUCAGCAAAAAUGUUGCGGGACGAAAAAAUACGAGCCGUGUACUCAGAGUGGCUGCUCCCACUAAGAUCAGUUGUUACAGGGAUUCAAUCGGAACUCGAGAAAGACGGCGGUGACGACGAAAAUCAGAUGGCGUGCUUGUUAAAUCCUGUUCAACUCGUACUUCACCGCUGCAUUGAGUUGGUGGAGGAAAAGAUGAAAGGUUUGUAA